UACGUAGGCAGCAAGCGUUGUUCGGAGUUACUGGGCGUAAAGGGUGCGUAGGCGGUCCUAUAAGUAUGGUGUGAAAUCUCCCGGCUUAACUGGAAGGGUGCGCUAUAGACUGUGGGACUAGAGUGUGGGAGAGGAAAGUGGAAUUCCUGGUGUAGCGGUGAAAUGCGUAGAUAUCAGGAGGAACACCGGUGGUGUAAACGGCUUUCUGGACCAUAACUGACGCUGAGGCACGAAAGCGUGGGUAGCAAACGGG
This 253-nucleotide ribosomal RNA is filed under the name uncultured bacterium. RNAcentral's name for it is "partial 16S ribosomal RNA". It matches the Rfam family "Bacterial small subunit ribosomal RNA", at positions 524 to 776 of the family's 1533-position model. The record is from RNAcentral.